CCUACGGGCGGCAGCAGUGAGGAAUAUUGGUCAAUGGGCGCGAGCCUGAACCAGCCAAGUAGCGUGAAGGAUGACUGCCCUACGGGUUGUAAACUUCUUUUAUAAAGGAAUAAAGUGAGGCUCGUGUGCCUUUUUGUAUGUACUUUAUGAAUAAGGAUCGGCUAACUCCGUGCCAGCAGCCGCGGUAAUACGGAGGAUCCGAGCGUUAUCCGGAUUUAUUGGGUUUAAAGGGAGCGUAGAUGGGUUGUUAAGUCAGUUGUGAAAGUUUGCGGCUCAACCGUAAAAUUGCAAUUGAUACUGGCAGUCUUGAGUACAGUUGAGGUAGGCGGAAUUCGUGGUGUAGCGGUGAAAUGCUUAGAUAUCACGAAGAAUUCCGAUUGCGAAGGCAGCUUACUGGACUGUAACUGACGUUGAGGCACGAAAGUGUGGGUAGCAAACAGGAUUAGAUACCCUUGUAGUC
This 460-nucleotide ribosomal RNA is filed under the name uncultured bacterium. RNAcentral describes it as "partial 16S ribosomal RNA". It matches the Rfam family "Bacterial small subunit ribosomal RNA", at positions 338 to 795 of the family's 1533-position model. The record is from RNAcentral.